UAGCCUGGUAGCAAUACUAGGUUGAGCCAGUGGCGAACGGGUGCGUAACACGUGAGUCAUCUGCCUGAAAGUGGGGGAUAGCUCGCCGAAAGGCGAAUUAAUACCGCAUGUGCCCCGAAGCAAUUCGGGGUAAAGCCGGGGCAACCUGGCGCUUUUAGAUGAGCUCGCGGCCUAUCAGCUUGUUGGUAAGGUAACGGCUUACCAAGGCUUCGACGGGUAGCUGGUCUGAGAGGACGACCAGCCACACUGGAACUGAGACACGGUCCAGACACCUACGGGUGGCAGCAGUCGAGAAUUUUUCUCAAUGGGGGAAACCCUGAAGGAGCGACGCCGCGUGGAGGAUGAAGGCUUUCGGGUUGUAAACUCCUGUCAUUUGGGAACAAUACCUUACGUUAACUGCGUGGAGGUUUGAUAGUACCAGAAGAGGAAGAGACGGCUAACUCUGUGCCAGCAGCCGCGGUAAUACAGAGGUCUCGAGCGUUGUUCGGAUUCAUUGGGCGUAAAGGGCGCGUAGGCUGCGGGGCAAGUCGGGUGUGAAAUCUCAGAGCUCAACUCUGAAACCGCACUCGAUACUGCUUUGCUAGAGGACUGGAGAGGAGAUUGGAAUUCACGGUGUAGCA
RNAcentral lists this ribosomal RNA (620 nucleotides) under uncultured Verrucomicrobiota bacterium. RNAcentral describes it as "bacterial SSU rRNA". It matches the Rfam family "Bacterial small subunit ribosomal RNA", at positions 70 to 680 of the family's 1533-position model. Lineage: Bacteria; Pseudomonadati; Verrucomicrobiota. The record is from RNAcentral.